This is a non-coding RNA of Calycina marina, 116 nucleotides long. The record is from the annotation of a GenBank genome assembly. Lineage: Eukaryota; Fungi; Ascomycota; Leotiomycetes; Helotiales; Pezizellaceae.
GGACAGAUGGCCGAGCUGGUUAUGGCGCCAGGUUAAGGUAAUCCUUAAUCAACGGAUUCCUCGGAGUCAAUUUCCUGGUCACGAAAGUGGCGUGGGUUCGAGUCCCACUCUGUUCA